This is a long non-coding RNA of Sinocyclocheilus grahami, 87 nucleotides long. RefSeq lists it as uncharacterized. The record is from RefSeq and is a predicted model, not a curated record. The transcript has 3 exons. Lineage: Eukaryota; Metazoa; Chordata; Actinopteri; Cypriniformes; Cyprinidae.
UUUCUGUUAUUACCGUGUUAUUACUGUGUUAUUACGUUGUUAUUACUGUGUUAUUACUGUGUUAUUAUCUGUUAUUACUGUGUUAUU